This 2305-nucleotide unclassified non-coding RNA is filed under the name Hevea brasiliensis (rubber tree). Lineage: Eukaryota; Viridiplantae; Streptophyta; Magnoliopsida; Malpighiales; Euphorbiaceae. The record is from RNAcentral.
ACUGAAUUUUCCUUGUUUCAACUAUUUUCUUUCAGGACGCUGACAGAAACAAAUUGCAAAUGCUCCCCAACUGUAAUUUUUCAGUCCGUUUCUCUUCAAAACUGAAAAUUUGAGAGUAUAGCAAGUGCCAAAAUUCUAUCUGCAACUCUGCAUAUAUUCACCAUGGCCACAACUGAAACCGAAACCAAAACCAUGAUCUGUUUUCUCCUGCUGUUGCUUCUCUCUCCCAUCUCUACUACAGCUUCCACUGCAGCUUACCCCACCGUCCCUGGAACCGCUGACACCUCUGCGUCCGCUUCUCUAAACGACAACUUAACACCAAUCCGCCGAGAAUUAUAUGGCGAUGGAAGAAUCUUCGACAUUAGCCACAGAUACACAAGCAAUUUGCCGGCUUAUAGGUCCGAUAAUGGGCUGGGACAAUUCCUUCAGCUCGCCGCCAGCAUGAAGAAUGGGUCCUUCGCAAACAUCUCGGAGAUGAAGUUCUCCGUCCACACCGGCACACACGUCGAUGCUCCGGGACACUUUUUUGAUCACUACUUCGAUGCUGGGUUCGAUGUCGACACUCUAGACCUUGAAGUGCUUAAUGGUAAUAAAUAAUAAACAACUAUAGCGACUGCUUUGUGAAUGAAUAUGCUAAUCACUCCAACUUUUUAAAUUAAUUUUCAAUGAGGUUUACCAAAUAUUAAUUUUUUGAGAAAAAUUUAAAAUACCUUAAUACUAUUACAAUAUGGGAUAUAUAUUUUUUUAAUUUAUUUGAAUAGGUCCUGGGCUACUGAUUGAUGUGCCAAGAGAUUCAAACAUAACUGGUAUGCAUUAUUCCCUUAUUGUGUUGUUCUAGAUAAUUUAACAUGAACAAAUAAAAGGAAAAUUGAAAUGAUUUUAAUUAAUAUGAAUGGAAACCCGAUACUGUAAUGUGUUCAGCUGAAGUUAUGAAGUCCUUAAAUAUUCCCAAGGGAGUAACUCGAGUGCUUUUCAGAACACUCAACACCGACAGGUAAAUUUCAGAACAUUUCUUCUAUCAUUUUUUUUACUCCCUCUGAUUUCUUAUUUAGAGAGAGAAUGCUACUGCUGAAUUUCGGCCUUAUUUAUCUUGACAACAUUGAUGAAUUGCAGGAGGCUUAUGUUCAAAAGUAAGUUUGACGCAAGCUUUGUGGGAUUCACAGAGGAUGGUGCAAAAUGGUUGGUACAGAACACUGACAUCAAGCUUGUUGGCAUUGAUUAUUUAUCUGUUGGUGCUUGGAGUGAGAUGGUUUCAACUCAUCUUGUCUUUCUGGAAAGCAAGGGAAGGCAUUAAUCAAAAUUUCAAGCGUUUUAAUUUUGAUUCAACUGCUGAAUGUCCAUGAAAAUUCAGGUUUUUUUAAGUGUCUUAGAAUAUCAACUUCCACUUGUAGCUUGAGAUAAGAAAAUGGACUGGGGGAGAAUUGCCUAUGUCUUACAAGGAACACAAUUACUCAUAUACCUAAACGAGUUGAUGCUUAACACUCUCUUUCACGCUCAGGGCUAAUACUUAGAGCUAGUUAGGGCACGAAAUACUUAUGGAAGACCCAGCACGGGAGACUCUAAUAUAAUGAUAAAUAAAUGGAUUGACCCAUUUUAAGAAAAUGGCAUUAAAGCUCUGUCAUGCAUGUGAGGGAGUGUGUUAGUAUCCACAUUGAUUUGGGAUAAGAGUAAGGUGUCUCUUAUAAAAUCUUGGGCAUUCUCCCCUUUGAGUUAGCUUUUGGAACGAGUUAUGUCUAGUCUAUUUUCUUAUGCAGAGAGCUAAGUGGGCACUUUGAGUUGUGUAGUUGAACAGUAGAAACUCUGUUUCUCUCCGGUCAAAGGAUUAAACAUUUGUUAAAUUCUCAGAUUAUGGUUUUCUCUACCCCAUAUUAGGAAUCUUGCAGUUUUGAUUUCCAUGGCUAGGGAUAUUGAAGGAAAGAAAUUAUUGAGAGUCAUACUAAAACAGUGCUAAUGUGAUUCAGGAAAUCAUAAUCGCAGAAGCCCUAAAACUUGAUGGUAUCGAAGCAGGAAUAUAUUAUGUGAAUUGCUUACCUUUGAGGUUGGUUGGUGCUGAGGGAUCUCCAGCAAGAUGCAUUCUUAUCAAAUGAUGAGUGCUGUGUUCCUGUAAUUAUCUCAAGCAUUUUUGUUCCAUGCAGUGAAGACUUAGACCUAAUGCUACUAGACAUGUUCACAUUUUGUGGUUCUGAUUCAUUCAUGUUCAUCUUGUUUUAACUGUUUCUUCCAUGGGUAUCAGAUUCAGCUUGAAGCUUGAAUCGCAUGAGGGAUUGUGUUAUAAGUAACUAAUUUAAUUAGAGAGUGUUCGUCC